GAACGAGGAUAUAUCCUUCGGGAUAUAAGCCGAGUGGCGCAAGGGUGAGUAAUGCAUAGAUUACCUGCCUCCGGGAUAAGGACAACUUUGUGAAAACGAAGCUAAUACUUAAUAAUACAAAAGAAAAUAAUUUUCAUUUGUCAAUGGGAGGGUAGCAAUACCUUUUGCCUGGAGAGGGGUUUAUGUCCUAUCAGCUUGUUGGUGGGGUAAUGGCCUACCAAGGCGAAGACGGGUAGCCGGUCUUAGAGGAUGGUCGGCCACACUGGGACUGAGACACUGCCCAGACUUCUACGGAAGGCUGCAGUCGAGAAUCUUUCGCAAUGCCCGAAAGGGUGACGAAGCGACGCCGCGUGAGUGAGGAAGGCCUUCGGGUUGUAAAGCUCUGUCAGGAGUUAAGAAAUAUAAGUGUGCUAAUACCACAUUUAUUUGACGAAGGCUCCAAAGGAAGCCACGGCUAACUCUGUGCCAGCAGCCGCGGUAAUACAGAGGUGGCAAGCGUUGUUCGGAAUUAUUGGGCGUAAAGAGCACGUAGGUGGGUUUGUAAGUCAGAUGUGAAAGCCUUCUGUUCAACGGAAGAAUUGCAUCUGAAACUGCGAGUCUUGAGUGUAGGAGGGGAGAAUGGAACUUCUGGUGGAGCGGUGAAAUGCGUAGAUAUCAGAAGGAACGCCGGCGGCGAAAGCGAUUCUCUGGCCUAUUACUGACGCUCAGUGUGCGAAAGCUAGGGGAGCAAACGGGAUUAGAUACCCCGGUAGUCCUAGCCGUAAACGAU
This 769-nucleotide ribosomal RNA is filed under the name uncultured Planctomycetota bacterium. RNAcentral's name for it is "bacterial SSU rRNA". It matches the Rfam family "Bacterial small subunit ribosomal RNA", at positions 64 to 810 of the family's 1533-position model. The record is from RNAcentral. Lineage: Bacteria; Pseudomonadati; Planctomycetota.